UACGUAGGGUGCGAGCGUUAAUCGGAAUUACUGGGCGUAAAGGGUGCGUAGGCGGAUAUAUAAGUUAGGUGUGAAAUACCCGGGCUCAACCUGGGAGGUGCAUUUAAGACUGUAUAUCUAGAGUUUGUCAGAGGGUGGUAGAAUUCCGAGUGUAGCAGUGAAAUGCGUAGAGAUUCGGAGGAAUACCGAAGGCGAAGGCAGCCACCUGGGAUAAGACUGACGCUGAGGCACGAAAGCGUGGGGAGCAAACAGG
This 253-nucleotide ribosomal RNA is filed under the name uncultured bacterium. RNAcentral describes it as "partial 16S ribosomal RNA". It matches the Rfam family "Bacterial small subunit ribosomal RNA", at positions 524 to 776 of the family's 1533-position model. The record is from RNAcentral.